GCUUACGGCCAUACCACCCUGAACACGCCCGAUCUCGUCCGGAAGCUAAGCAGGGUCGGGCCUGGUUAGUACUUGGAUGGGAGACCGCCUGGGAAUACCAGGUGCUGUAAGCU
RNAcentral lists this ribosomal RNA (113 nucleotides) under Labrus bergylta (ballan wrasse). The record is from RNAcentral. Lineage: Eukaryota; Metazoa; Chordata; Actinopteri; Labriformes; Labridae.